AGUUGCCAACGUCCCAUUUUUCCGACAGCUUAACGGUGCCCCGAAUAGACUGUCUGUGCCCACAAACAUGUUGCAGGAGUGGUGUGUCUGUGCUGUGCUGUGUGCAGACUGGCUCAGUGUGCAAGGAAAGAGUCUCAGAGAUCAUCCAAUCUCUUUUAUAUUGGAUCUUUUUCUAUAUUUUGAUCGUAUCAUCUAAUUUACAAGAAGUGUUUUUUAAAGGAGUGUUUUACUCGUCUACAAAAGCUAAUAAAAACCCACUAAAUAGA
Spea bombifrons (plains spadefoot toad) is the source of this 266-nucleotide long non-coding RNA. RefSeq lists it as uncharacterized. The transcript has 2 exons. The record is from RefSeq and is a predicted model, not a curated record. Lineage: Eukaryota; Metazoa; Chordata; Amphibia; Anura; Pelobatidae.